AGAUGGAGAGAAUGGAGAUUCAGAGAAGUUAAGAAACUCGACAAAGUCACACAGCUAAUCAGCAGAGGCACUUAUCUUCUCUCCAGACGAGAAACCUGAAACCUUAAAUGUCCAAGAAAACGCCUUUGGAAAGUCAUAGAGCUGCAAUUUGAAUCCAAGUCCCCAGCUUCAGAGGUUGCUGUGAUGAUUCCAGAUGCACAUUUAUAGCUGUUGAAGGUUCUCGAAGAAGGUGCAGAAGAGAAACCUUCGGACAGCAUUAAGGUG
This is a long non-coding RNA of Orcinus orca (killer whale), 264 nucleotides long. RefSeq lists it as uncharacterized. NCBI's taxonomy places the organism in Eukaryota, Metazoa, Chordata, Mammalia, Artiodactyla, Delphinidae. The record is from RefSeq and is a predicted model, not a curated record. The transcript is spliced from 3 exons.